This 87-nucleotide transfer RNA is filed under the name Candidatus Erginobacter occultus. Its description in RNAcentral is "tRNA-Ser". It matches the Rfam family "tRNA". Rfam says of the family: Transfer RNA (tRNA) molecules are approximately 80 nucleotides in length. Their secondary structure includes four short double-helical elements and three loops (D, anti-codon, and T loops). Further hydrogen bonds mediate the characteristic L-shaped molecular structure. tRNAs have two regions of fundamental functional importance: the anti-codon, which is responsible for specific mRNA codon recognition, and the 3' end, to which the tRNAs corresponding amino acid is attached (by aminoacyl-tRNA synthetases). tRNAs cope with the degeneracy of the genetic code in two manners: having more than one tRNA (with a specific anti-codon) for a particular amino acid; and 'wobble' base-pairing, i.e. permitting non-standard base-pairing at the 3rd anti-codon position. The record is from RNAcentral. Lineage: Bacteria; Pseudomonadati; Candidatus Auribacterota; Candidatus Erginobacteria; Candidatus Erginobacterales; Candidatus Erginobacteraceae.
GGAGGGGUGGCUGAGUGGCUGAAAGCGCUGGUCUUGAAAACCAGUGUACCCGCAAGGGUACCGUGGGUUCAAAUCCCACCCCCUCCG